This 510-nucleotide ribosomal RNA is filed under the name uncultured bacterium. Its description in RNAcentral is "bacterial SSU rRNA". It matches the Rfam family "Bacterial small subunit ribosomal RNA", at positions 18 to 518 of the family's 1533-position model. The record is from RNAcentral.
UAUGGCUCACACGAACGCUGGCGGCGCGUCUUAAGCAUGCAAGUCGAACGGCAAGAGGUAGCAAUACCUCCUAGAGUGGCGGACUGGUGAGUAACACGUGGGUGACAUACCCUUCAGAUGGGGAUAGCUAUUAGAAAUAGUAGAUAAUACCGAAUACGAGCACAGGGGUUAGAGAUCUGUGAGGAAAGGAGCUAAGGCUCCGCUGAAGGAAUGGCCUGCGGCCCAUUAGCUAGUUGGUGAGGUAAGAGCCCACCAAGGCGAUGAUGGGUAUCCGGCCUUAGAGGGUGAACGGACACAUUGGGACUGAGAUACGGCCCAGACUCCUACGGGAGGCAGCAGCUAAGAAUAUUCCGCAAUGGACGAAAGUCUGACGGAGCGACGCCGCGUGGAUGAAGAAGGCCGGAAGGUUGUAAAAUCCUUUUGAAACUGAAGAAUAAGCGUUGUAGGGAAUGACAGCGUGGCGACAGUAGGUUUUGAAUAAGCAACGGCUAAUUACGUGCCAGCAGCGGC